GUAGUCAUAUGCUUGUCUCAAAGAUUAAGCCAUGCAUGUCUAAGUAUAAAUAACUUUAUAUUGUGAAACUGCGAAUGGCUCAUUAAAUCAGUUAUGAUCUACGUGACAAAUUCUUUACUACUUGGAUAACCGUGGUAAUUCUAGAGCUAAUACAUGCAAAAAAGCCCUGACUUACGAAGGGGUGCACUUAUUAGAUAAAACCAACGCGGGGUAAAACCUGUUUCUUGGUGAAUCAUAAUAAUUAAGCGGAUCGCAUGGCCUUGUGCCGGCGACGGUCCACUCGAUUUUCUGCCCUAUCAUGGUUGAGAUUGUAAGAUGGAGGCUUACAAUGCCUACAACGGGUAACGGGGAAU
RNAcentral lists this ribosomal RNA (353 nucleotides) under uncultured Rhizopus. RNAcentral's name for it is "SSU rRNA". It matches the Rfam family "Eukaryotic small subunit ribosomal RNA", at positions 20 to 370 of the family's 1831-position model. The record is from RNAcentral. Lineage: Eukaryota; Fungi; Mucoromycota; Mucoromycetes; Mucorales; Mucoraceae.